RNAcentral lists this ribosomal RNA (205 nucleotides) under uncultured bacterium. Its description in RNAcentral is "partial 16S ribosomal RNA". It matches the Rfam family "Bacterial small subunit ribosomal RNA", at positions 9 to 202 of the family's 1533-position model. The record is from RNAcentral.
GAGUUUGUAUCAUGGCUCAGGAUGAACGCUAGCGGCAGGCUUAACACAUGCAAGUCGAGGGGCAGCAUAAUGGAUAGCAAUAUCUAUGGUGGCGACCGGCGCACGGGUGCGGUAACGCGUAUGCAACCUACCUUUAACAGGGGGAUAACACUGAGAAAUUGGUACUAAUACCCAAUAAUAUCAUAGAAGGUCAUCUUUUAUGGUU